CGAGUGGCGAACGGGUGAGUAACAUAUCGGAACGUACCGGGUAGCGGGGGAUAACUGAUCGAAAGAUCAGCUAAUACCGCAUACGUCUUGAGAGGGAAAGCAGGGGACCUUCGGGCCUUGCGCUAUCCGAGCGGCCGAUAUCUGAUUAGCUGGUUGGCGGGGUAAAGGCCCACCAAGGCGACGAUCAGUAGCGGGUCUAAGAGGAUGAUCCGCCACACUGGGACUGAGACACGGCCCAGACUCCUACGGGAGGCAGCAGGU
RNAcentral lists this ribosomal RNA (261 nucleotides) under uncultured Neisseria sp. RNAcentral's name for it is "partial 16S ribosomal RNA". It matches the Rfam family "Bacterial small subunit ribosomal RNA", at positions 92 to 354 of the family's 1533-position model. The record is from RNAcentral. Lineage: Bacteria; Pseudomonadati; Pseudomonadota; Betaproteobacteria; Neisseriales; Neisseriaceae.